GAUGAACGCUAGCGGCAGGCUUAAUACAUGCAAGUCGUGGGCAGCAGGUCUGUAGCAAUACAGAUGCUGGCGACCGGCAAACGGGUGCGGAACACGUACAGAACCUUCCUUUGAGCGGGGAAUAGCCCAGAGAAAUUUGGAUUAAUACCCCAUAGUAUAAUGAAGUGGCAUCACUUUAUUAUUAAAGAUUUAUCACUCGAAGAUGGCUGUGCGGCUGAUUAGGUAGUUGGCGGGUAAAGGCCCACCAAGCCUGCGAUCAGUAACUGGUGUGAGAGCACGACCAGUCACACGGGCACUGAGACACGGGCCCGACUCCUACGGGAGGCAGCAGUAAGGAAUAUUGGUCAAUGGAGGCAACUCUGAACCAGCCAUGCCGCGUGGAGGAUGAAGGUCCUCUGGAUUGUAAACUUCUUUAUAUGGGACGAAAAAAGGCUUUUCUAAGUCGUCUGACGGUACCAUAUGAAUAAGCACCGGCUAACUCCGUGCCAGCAGCCGCGG
RNAcentral lists this ribosomal RNA (498 nucleotides) under uncultured bacterium. RNAcentral's name for it is "bacterial SSU rRNA". It matches the Rfam family "Bacterial small subunit ribosomal RNA", at positions 28 to 520 of the family's 1533-position model. The record is from RNAcentral.